This 305-nucleotide ribosomal RNA is filed under the name uncultured bacterium. RNAcentral's name for it is "bacterial SSU rRNA". It matches the Rfam family "Bacterial small subunit ribosomal RNA", at positions 338 to 660 of the family's 1533-position model. The record is from RNAcentral.
CCUACGGGGGGCAGCAGUGGGGAAUAUUGCACAAUGGGGGAAACCCUGAUGCAGCGACGCCGCGUGGAGGAAGAAGGUCUUCGGAUUGUAAACUCCUGUCCUUGGGGACGAUAAUGACGGUACCCAAGGAGGAAGCACCGGCUAACUACGUGCCAGCAGCCGCGGUAAAACGUAGGGUGCAAGCGUUGUCCGGAAUUACUGGGUGUAAAGGGAGCGCAGGCGGAUUGACAAGUUGGGAGUGAAAACUACGGGCUCAACCCGUAACCUGCUUUCAAAACUGUCAGUCUUGAGUGGUGUAGAGGUAG